This is a long non-coding RNA of Mauremys reevesii (Reeves's turtle), 370 nucleotides long. RefSeq lists it as uncharacterized. The transcript has 4 exons. Lineage: Eukaryota; Metazoa; Chordata; Testudines; Geoemydidae. The record is from RefSeq and is a predicted model, not a curated record.
GGGUUGAACUUCCUGGGUCAGACGCUAUUGCCUGCAUUGUGGUCUGGGAGCCCAGACUGAGCAGCUGCUGCUCCCCCGGUGGGGUCUGGGCUCGGGAGUGACUUGGAGUGAAGCUUCCUCUGUGCCCAGGCAAGGCCUAGAGAUUGGAAGCAAUCGAUGGUGAGUUGUGUGAAGCGGAGGGCUUCGUCGAACGUGGAGGCCUUGAGAAGGCAAUCGUCAAGGGUUUCCAGUUUCCAAACCUGAUGUGAUGUCACAUCUGGAACGAGAGGAAGAGUUGUGGAUCCCAGACCUCCAGGGCUCUGAGAAAGAAGUGCUCCCAAGAGGUGCCUGCACAGGGAGUGACCUACGUCUGGAUUCUCUCUGUCACCCA